Leptonychotes weddellii (Weddell seal) is the source of this 3288-nucleotide non-coding RNA. NCBI's taxonomy places the organism in Eukaryota, Metazoa, Chordata, Mammalia, Carnivora, Phocidae. The record is from RefSeq and is a predicted model, not a curated record.
AAAGGCCCAGGGGUGACUUGGAGGGAAUGAAAGGCGGUCAGGAUGGCCAGAGGCCGAGGCUGGAUGCAGAGGAGGCGGACGGGUGGGGCAUAAGCCAUUUAAAUGAAGUGAGCUUCGGGCUUAUCCUAAGGGCCCUUUGAGGUUUAAGAGGAGGGCUGAAAGGGUCCUCUUUCCUGUCCGAAUGGAGUGUACUGGGUGGGGGGUGGCUCUGUCCGCGGGGAGAGGGAUCAGGUGGUAUAGACUAGGGUGCAGGCUCAAGAGAAGUAGACUGGUUCAAGAGCCAUGUAGGCAGCAGAGGGCAAACCUUGGUGAUGGGCUUGAGGGGAUGAGGAGCGGUGGGUGGGAGGAGUCAGGGAGGUCUCCCAGGGUGUGAGGCCAGCGUUGGGUGAGUGAGGGUCUCAUUUCCACCCUUAGCUAAUUCCCUGGAGAAAUGUGGGCUGGGGGAUGGGAGCGGUGUGUGGUCAGCAGACCUGCCCACUCACACUUAGGCUUCUGACCUCUGUAGCUACCAGGAUUACUGGCCUCCCCAUUCUCAGUGGUUUUGCUCUCUUGGACCCUUCUCUGUUCCACCUUACCUCUCCAUUCUGGCGUUCCACCAGGGCUGCUCUUCGCCCUCUCGUGCACAGUCCACUGUAGUGGCUUUUUCUGAGACUAAUGGGUAAAACUCCCAAAUCAGUGUUUCUGAGUUAGCAAAAAAAAAUUGUGAAACAAAAACGCCCAGACUCCUCACCCUCAGUGCCAAGGUCCGAAGGUCACGUGAUGCCUAGCCCCUAGCAAUGGUCCUGCACUCUGAGUUGGGUGUUAAUUGGCCGUGGGCUGCUCAGCAGGAGAGCACAUUGGCUCUCCAUUCACUGUAGAUGAAAGGUCCUGGCCUCACAGCCAGUUCCAUACCCAACUGUAGCCUGUCUCUCUUCGCUUACCAGCAUCUCAAACAUUUCUCAAGAAUCGGCUAAUAGAUGGGGAGACUGUGGUCUGUUGCAUAACUGAAACUCUCAGAAGUUCUCUCCAUAAAUGUAUGGAAAAAGAAAGUAUUGUGGCGAAGCUUGGACUUCCCUGAAACCCGGAGGCUGAGUGCUACCCUGCAUCAUGGACGCUCUUUCUGAAGCAAAUGGCACCUUUGCCAUCCAGCUUUUAAAGAUACUGUGUGAAGACAACCCUUCACACAACGUGUUCUAUUCUCCUGUGAGCAUCUCCUCAGCCCUGGCCAUGGUCUUCCUGGGGGCAAAAGGAAACACUGCUGCCCAGAUGGCCCAGGUGCUUUCAUUAAGCACAGAGAAAGACAUUCAUCAGAGUUUCCAGUCACUUCUUGCUGAAGUGAACAAACCUGGCACCCAGUACUUGCUCAGAACGGCCAGCAGGCUCUUUGGAGAAAAGACUUGUGAAUUCCUCUCGGCCUUUAAGGAAUCCUGUCUUCGGUUCUACCACGCUGAGCUGGAGCAGCUUUCCUUUGCCAGUGAUGCAGAGCAGUGCAGGGAGCACAUCAACACUUGGGUCUCAAAAAAGACUGAAGGUAAAAUUCGAGAUUUACUGCCGAGUAACUCAAUCAAUGCAAACACCAGGCUGGUUCUUGUCAAUGCCAUCUACUUCAAAGGAAGGUGGAAUGAACAGUUCAACAAAAUGUACACAAGGGAAAUGCCUUUUAAAAUAAACCAGAAGGAGCAAAAGCCGGUGCAGAUGAUGUUUCAGGAAGCUACGUUUAAGCUUGCCUAUAUUAAAGAGGUGCAGACCCAGGUCCUGGAGCUGCCCUACGAGGGUGAGGAGCUGAGCAUGGUCAUUCUGCUCCCGGACGACAACGUAGAUCUAAGCUUGGUGGAAAAAAAUCUCACUUUGGAGAAAUUCAGAGCCUGGACCAAGCCAGACCGUAUGCAGAGCACCGAAGUGGAAGUUUUCCUUCCGAGAUUUCAACUGGAAGAGGAUUAUGACAUGGAAUCUGUGCUCCAGGGUCUGGGAAUGGUUGAUGCCUUUCGGGAGGACGAGGCUGACUUUUCGGCAAUGUCAGGCGAGAGAGAUCUGUGUCUGUCCAAGUUUGUGCACAAGAGUUUUGUGGAGGUGAACGAGGAAGGCACGGAGGCCGCGGCCGCGUCAACUAUCUUGGUUGUGGAGUGUUGCAUGGAUUCUGGCCCCACGUUCUGCGCCGACCACCCCUUCCUUUUCUUCAUUAGGCACAAUGCAGCCAACACUAUUCUGUUCUGUGGCAGGUUUUCCUCUCCAUAAGGGUGAGCAUUCCCCUCUUUCUGUGUCCUCCUGCCCUGCUCCACAGCCCCGGAAAAUGGGCCUUCGAAGCACAGUGCAAAGUGUUCACGGUGAUUUUCUCAUCUUCAUUCUUCAAGGUGAACGUCAGAAUAAUUUUGCAAUACUCAAAAUAAUGUUUUUAACUUUGGUAUUUUUUGGAGGGAUUAGUGUGACAUUAAACAUAUAAAUUUGGGGAUAAAUUAAUCUAUUUACAGGGUUUAGUCUUGUUCGGGAAAUGUGAGGAGUCUCCAUUUAUUCAAAUCUUUUUUAUCUCCCUCUCUCUAUAUAUAUUUAUGUAUAUAUAUAUAUAUAGACAGAGAGAGAGAGACAUAGUUUUGUUUUUCUUGUUAUGGUAUUUCUAAGUUUUAUUGUCAUUAUAAUAAUUGUAGUGAGAGCAUUUUCCCUCAUUUGGUUAUGGGUGGCAUAUAAGCAAACGAAGUUUAGUACAUACUAAAGAGAAACAUCAUUUCUCCCUCCUCCUACUAAAUACUUUUGACCCCAGUUGUGUGGGUUUUUCCACACCAAGCAGUUCUCCGCUUCUCAGGGACACCGACUGGGUGCCUUACAAUUUAACUGAAUUUUAUUUUUUCCGCAAUAGAAGAAUUUAAUUCAUUUAUAUUAUGCAAUACUCUGCAGAACAUUUUUUUAAAUUGUGAAGGGUCUAUAUGCAGUUCCUGAAAAAGGUCAUGAAAACAAAUUAAGUGAAAAAUACAGCUUUCAGUACAACGUGCCUACAUGAUGCACGCAUUUAUGUGAACAGACCCUGUAUGUCUACACGUAAUUCACAUAUGUGAGUCUCUGGGAAAAGGUUUAAAAGGCUAAGCCUUCACCUUUAACAGAGGUUAUCUCUGGGAAAGGUUUUGAGGGGGAAUGGGAGGAAAACUUCCAGUUUUUACUCUCUGUGUUUCAAUAUUAUUUAAUGUUUCAACUAGGAAAAUCUAAUCCUGUGAUCUGCACAUAAUUCAAAGGAAGAACUCCAGGAUAUAACCACAUGUGUAAUUCUGAGUGACACGGUAUUGAAACUGAAAUAAAAUCUACAUAAACAGCUUUAAAAUA